GACGAACGCUGGCGGCGUGCUUAACACAUGCAAGUCGAACGGAAAGGCCCUGCUUUUGUGGGGUGCUCGAGUGGCGAACGGGUGAGUAACACGUGAGUAACCUGCCCUUGACUUUGGGAUAACUUCAGGAAACUGAGGCUAAUACCGGAUAGGAGCUCCUGCUGCAUGGUGGGGGUUGGAAAGUUUCGGCGGUUGGGGAUGGACUCGCGGCUUAUCAGCUUGUUGGUGGGGUAGUGGCUUACCAAGGCUUUGACGGGUAGCCGGCCUGAGAGGGUGACCGGCCACAUUGGGACUGAGAUACGGCCCAGACUCCUACGGGAGGCAGCAGUGUGGAAUAUUGCACAAUGGGCGGAAGCCUGAUGCAGCAACGCCGCGUGCGGGAUGACGGCCUUCGGGUUGUAAACCGCUUUCGCCUGUGACGAAGCGUGAGUGACGGUAAUGGGUAAAGAAGCACCGGCUAACUACGUG
RNAcentral lists this ribosomal RNA (468 nucleotides) under uncultured bacterium. RNAcentral describes it as "partial 16S ribosomal RNA". It matches the Rfam family "Bacterial small subunit ribosomal RNA", at positions 28 to 507 of the family's 1533-position model. The record is from RNAcentral.